Molecule: ribosomal RNA, 254 nt
Filed under: uncultured bacterium
Lineage: Bacteria
Description: partial 16S ribosomal RNA
Rfam family: Bacterial small subunit ribosomal RNA
Source: RNAcentral
CACGUAGGGGGCAAGCGUUGUCCGGAUUUAUUGGGCGUAAGGAGCUCGUAGGCGGCUUAGUAAGUCGGGUGUGAAACCUCCAGGCUCAACCUGGAGACGCCACCCGAUACUGCUGUGGCUAGAGUCCGGUAGGGGAGCGUGGAAUUCCCAGUGUAGCGGUGAAAUGCGUAGAUAUUGGGAGGAACACCAGUGGCGAAGGCGGCUCACUGGACCGGUACUGACGCUGAUGCGCGAAAGCGUGGGGAGCAAACGGG